RNAcentral lists this ribosomal RNA (442 nucleotides) under uncultured bacterium. RNAcentral's name for it is "bacterial SSU rRNA". It matches the Rfam family "Bacterial small subunit ribosomal RNA", at positions 958 to 1398 of the family's 1533-position model. The record is from RNAcentral.
AACGCGAAGAACCUUACCUGGGUUUGACAUCCUCUGACCGGUGUAGAGAUACAUUUUUCGUAGCAAUACGACAGAGAGACAGGUGCUGCAUGGCUGUCGUCAGCUCGUGUGGUGACAUGUUGGGUUAAGUCCCGCAACGAGCGCAACCCCUGUCUUUAGUUGCCAGCAUUCAGUUGGGCACUCUAAAGAGACUGCCGUGGUUAACACGGAGGAAGGUGGGGAUGACGUCAAGUCCUCAUGGCCUUUAUAUCCAGGGCGACACACGUGAUACAAUGGAUGGUACAGAGGGAUGCGAAACCGCGAGGUGGAGCCAAUCUCAAAAAGCCAUUCUCAGUUCGGAUUGGAGUCUGCAACUCGACUCCAUGAAGUUGGAAUCGCUAGUAAUCGCGGAUCAGCACGCCGCGGUGAAUACGUUCCCGGGCCUUGUACACACCGAGACGUA